Daphnia carinata is the source of this 746-nucleotide long non-coding RNA. RefSeq lists it as uncharacterized. The transcript has 4 exons. Lineage: Eukaryota; Metazoa; Arthropoda; Branchiopoda; Diplostraca; Daphniidae. The record is from RefSeq and is a predicted model, not a curated record.
GCCAUUUCUAAAUUUCUAUCGCCAGCGACAUGUCACAUGUGAUCGUCUGAUACGUUGUCCGGUCUUUUGUAACUUAAGUGUCCAAACAACUAAUUACAUUGAGGUGAUGCGUCAAUUUGGGAAUUCAGAUGUCAGCAGUUGGUUGAGAAACUCAUAAAAUGGAUCACAAUUCUAUUUCCCCGUUCGUCUUUGGAAUCCUGGGUUGCUAAGUGUUUACGGAACAUUCUCGUCCGCUCAGGCCACAAAUCUAUCCACAUCGAACACGGAGCCGAUUGUCGUGUUGUACAUAGAAAUGCUUGAAGAUGAAAUCGAUUAGAUGCAUGUUGGAGUGAUGUUCCAGAAAGCAGCAUUCCAGAGGCAAAAAACUACGUUAAAAAGCUGAUCAACACAAUGUAUAUUGUUUUCUUUCCUUCAUGGUGAAAUUGAAUUAAAUUGGAAAUCGAAAGCUAUAGAAGCAAUUUGUCGACCAGUUUGAUGGAACUUGUGGAAGUUGCCGAAAUGUCAGAACGGAGUAAUACGCAAAAUCUGAAAUACAGUCGAAAAACUGUUUACAUGUUGUGAAUACGAAGAGCGUCUGUUUGCAGUUCCAGAAAUUUUAAGGUUUGGGGCAUAGUAAAGGCUGUAGAUGAUGGAAUUUGCAUUUCAAGUAAAAAUCGUGUGUUAAGUACUUAUUGCCUGUCGACUGUUAAAUAACAGUUUGAGUUAAUAUGUCUUAAAAAUGAUUGCUUCUUAGAUACUAAAAGUAA